RNAcentral lists this ribosomal RNA (1483 nucleotides) under Enterobacter asburiae. Its description in RNAcentral is "partial 23S ribosomal RNA". It matches the Rfam family "Bacterial large subunit ribosomal RNA", at positions 1 to 1531 of the family's 2925-position model. The record is from RNAcentral. Lineage: Bacteria; Pseudomonadati; Pseudomonadota; Gammaproteobacteria; Enterobacterales; Enterobacteriaceae.
GUUAAGCGACUAAGCGUACACGGUGGAUGCCCUGGCAGUCAGAGGCGAUGAAGGACGUGCUAAUCUGCGAAAAGCGCCGGCGAGGUGAUAUGAACCUUUGACCCGGCGAUGUCCGAAUGGGGAAACCCAGUGCAAUUCGUUGCACUAUCGUUAACUGAAUACAUAGGUUAACGAGGCGAACCGGGGGAACUGAAACAUCUAAGUACCCCGAGGAAAAGAAAUCAACCGAGAUUCCCCCAGUAGCGGCGAGCGAACGGGGAGCAGCCCAGAGUCUGAAUCAGCUUGUGUGUUAGUGGAAGCGUCUGGAAAGUCGCACGGUACAGGGUGACAGUCCCGUACACGAAAGCACACAGGCUGUGAACUCGAAGAGUAGGGCGGGACACGUGGUAUCCUGUCUGAAUAUGGGGGGACCAUCCUCCAAGGCUAAAUACUCCUGACUGACCGAUAGUGAACCAGUACCGUGAGGGAAAGGCGAAAAGAACCCCGGCGAGGGGAGUGAAAAAGAACCUGAAACCGUGUACGUACAAGCAGUGGGAGCACCUUCGUGGUGUGACUGCGUACCUUUUGUAUAAUGGGUCAGCGACUUAUAUUCUGUAGCAAGGUUAACCGUAUAGGGGAGCCGAAGGGAAACCGAGUCUUAACUGGGCGUUAAGUUGCAGGGUAUAGACCCGAAACCCGGUGAUCUAGCCAUGGGCAGGUUGAAGGUUGGGUAACACUAACUGGAGGACCGAACCGACUAAUGUUGAAAAAUUAGCGGAUGACUUGUGGCUGGGGGUGAAAGGCCAAUCAAACCGGGAGAUAGCUGGUUCUCCCCGAAAGCUAUUUAGGUAGCGCCUCGUGAACUCAUCUUCGGGGGUAGAGCACUGUUUCGGCUAGGGGGCCAUCCCGGCUUACCAACCCGAUGCAAACUACGAAUACCGAAGAAUGUUAUCACGGGAGACACACGGCGGGUGCUAACGUCCGUCGUGAAGAGGGAAACAACCCAGACCGCCAGCUAAGGUCCCAAAGUCAUGGUUAAGUGGGAAACGAUGUGGGAAGGCACAGACAGCCAGGAUGUUGGCUUAGAAGCAGCCAUCAUUUAAAGAAAGCGUAAUAGCUCACUGGUCGAGUCGGCCUGCGCGGAAGAUGUAACGGGGCUAAACCAUGCACCGAAGCUGCGGCAGCGACGCGUAUGCGUUGUUGGGUAGGGGAGCGUUCUGUAAGCCGUUGAAGGUGUGCUGUGAGGCAUGCUGGAGGUAUCAGAAGUGCGAAUGCUGACAUAAGUAACGAUAAAGCGGGUGAAAAGCCCGCUCGCCGGAAGACCAAGGGUUCCUGUCCAACGUUAAUCGGGGCAGGGUGAGUCGACCCCUAAGGCGAGGCCGAAAGGCGUAGUCGAUGGGAAACAGGUUAAUAUUCCUGUACUUGGUGUUACUGCGAAGGGGGGACGGAGAAGGCUAUGUUAGCCGGGCGACGGUUGUCCCGGUUUAAGCAUGUAGGCGGAGGU